AACCCCCGCAUCCGCAUUCUUGGAUCGAAGCGGCGAGCAGUUUUUCGGAGGUGAGCGGUGUUGCAAGAUGCUUCACGGCGGGUGGUGGCCUCGUUGGCCGGCGACCGUGUGGCGACCCGCCUCCAUCCCCCGUCCCCUUCCUUGCCCAUAGCGAUGGGUGAUGGCCCGACGUCCUUCUCCAUAUCCCGCACCCGCGCUCCCUUAUCUCCGUCGCCACGCUGGCAGCGGCCCCUUCCUCCACUCCCCGCUCCUCUUCGUCACGCACGACAACGGAAGGAGGGGUCCUGAUGGGAGCAAGGCUUGCGACCCCGCCGUCACAACUGCUCUGGAGCCCCGACAAAGCUAGCAACAGCAACACAGGUUCCAUGGCCUCUGUCGCACAUCUGCCGCCCAGCCGUCCCCAGGGUAGGUGGUGGCUCGUAUUCUGCUUGCUGUGGGCUGCAUCUCCUCCCACAACAACGGCCGGCAACUAGGUUCGCCAUCGGAGUUCUUCAGCAUUGCCCCCUGUCUGUCAUUUUACACGAGUAUGUCGUUUACUCUCCCAUGCCAAGUAUCUGCUUGAAUUAAGUUAGAUUCAGUAAGAAAAUUGGUUAGCUGAAUUUGGAUGGAUCACGUCCCCAAUUGCAGAGCUGAAACAUUAUGUAUUUUGUUUUGGUCUCAUCCCCGAAUAUAUUUGUUUGAGCAUAGCUAUCCUAAAAGCUUAGUACGCGAACUGUCAUACUUUCUUUUGCCUAGUUUGUAUGUGCUUGGUCAGAUGUCUUAUCGGUUUUGUUCAUAAAUUGUGUCAUUUAGAGUUUACCUUUAAUCGACAUGUAGAUGCGAAUUCAUAGUUUUAGGACUAUGGUGAUAUAUUCAUAUUUUUUGGGCCCAUAUCCUUUUUAAUAAGAAAAAUAAUAUUGUUUCCAUUCUCCAUUGAUUACCUGGCAUGAUUGAAGGAAAAGUAUUUAGUAUUGUCAUGUACAAUGCACAUAUUGCCUAAUAAAGCUUGAUUACUGUGCAUGAUUGAAGAGUGUGUGGGGGGGGGGGUAGUACUACCAUUUAAUGUUUCAAUUUCUCAAUAAAUGAAAUGUAGAUUCCGCAGUUCAGACUGUUGUAUAAAUCUAUGAUUCUUGUAUAACUCUAUUCUAGCCAGAAGUUGCAGACUUACAAUAUGUAUGAUAUAGUGCAGGUGUGACUUGUUUCAUCUCUUUUUUAACAUUAUUAAACUUUUGUAGCUUCUUAAGUCAUCCCGGCCUCCCCAUUCUGUUUCAACAUGACUUCUUUGUAUUUAUUGGAGCAAGGCGGUAAUGCAGCCUCCUCGCGUUAGACAGUGUGCUCCCACACCUCUUAUGCCAGAACGGUGGCAUCCUUCAUCACAGCCACCGCCUCCUUGCCAGGCCAGUCACUCACAUGCCAGCGCUCUCUUGCACCGAAUUAGCCGGCUGAUUGACGGGGUCAGUUCUCGAGGGACGAUGCAAGGCGCUGGUUUCCUGUGACGUUUCGUUAUGCAACACCAUUUUGCCCCUGGCUUUCUCUUCCAACAGGUUAAAAGUAGUCUAGAAAGCAAUGAAGGCCUUGUGCUGAUUGAGGAAAUUCUGAAAAAUGUGGUCCUCUGGAGACAUUUUUCUGCAAUUUCCCUCGAUAUAUUCUUAAACGUGGUAGGUAUGGUUGUAUAAACACACUGCUAAAGAGUCAUCUUAGUUAUCUGAUACAGUGGAUGUUCUAUGUCAAUGACUAUAGUUUGGAGUGGUCAAUUUACCAAACCAGUGUUAAGUAUGUGUACCAAAUACAUGUUGCCUUCAUUGUAUACUCUUCUCAUCCUUUGCAGUAAGCGAUGUUGUUUCAUU
This is a non-coding RNA of Aegilops tauschii subsp. strangulata, 1826 nucleotides long. The record is from RefSeq and is a predicted model, not a curated record. Lineage: Eukaryota; Viridiplantae; Streptophyta; Magnoliopsida; Poales; Poaceae.